CUUCUCAUCGGAUCCUCGCGACUAAUGCGAACCUUAUCUUAACGAAUAAAGUUUCUUAUUGCCUUGCGAACUUCAGCAAUGGAAGAGUUUAUUUGUCGUUCAUCUCCGUUCGGAAAUGACCGACUACAGGAUGAGCGUUGCCUAGAAGAAGGGGGCCCAUACGGCCCCCUUCU
RNAcentral lists this small RNA (173 nucleotides) under Candidatus Doolittlea endobia. RNAcentral describes it as "SraG RNA". It matches the Rfam family "SraG RNA". From Rfam's summary of the family: This RNA was discovered in E. coli during a large scale screen. Evidence was found for specific cleavage of this RNA. Lineage: Bacteria; Pseudomonadati; Pseudomonadota; Gammaproteobacteria; Enterobacterales; Enterobacteriaceae. The record is from Rfam by way of RNAcentral.